Molecule: long non-coding RNA, 826 nt
Filed under: Pan troglodytes (chimpanzee)
Lineage: Eukaryota; Metazoa; Chordata; Mammalia; Primates; Hominidae
Description: long non-coding RNA NONPTRT007779
Source: RNAcentral
CGCCUACAGGGCAGCGCCAGCCGGCGGGCGGCUCUGAAUCUGGACCUGGGCCUGGGCCUGGGCCUGGGCCUCAGCGCGGGCGGAGGCGAAGGCCUGUUUGAGGGAGUGGUCGCCAGGGAAAUUGGCAUCUGGUUGCAAAAAAGUACCCAAGGAGCGCGGGAGAGCUCGGCGUAGAGUGGGCGUCCAGUCACUUGUCCCUGUGAUGAGGUUCCCAGCAGAGCUGGAAUUUGAACUCUCUGCCCACAGAGUGUGGCGUGGCGCUAUCUGCAACCCAAAUAGCUCUACCCUGAAGCCAGGGCCUGGGAGGGCCUGCUGAUCAGAUGCUUCAGAGCAGCAUUUCUCCUACUUUAACAUGCACACAGAUCACUUGGGGAGCAUGUUAAAAAGUAAAUCCUGAUUCCUUGGAUUUGAGGGUGGGCUGGAGACUCUUCAUUUCUAAUAAGCUCUCAAGUGAGGCCAAUACCGCUGGUUCCAGAGGCAAAGCCCUAGAAUCCAGGGUCUAGAACUGUGUAGGACCUAAAUCUAAGAUGUACUGGGGAGGGGAAUGAUGGAACACUAAAUUAUUUAGGAGACAGUUCACAGUCAUGAUUCUACCCACCUAAAAUGCUUUGUGAUGAAAGUUAAAUUUUCGGACAUCAUUUCCGUUGAAUAAACAUGUAGAGUGAGCCUACUGGUUGCCAUAUCUUAGAAUGCAGAAUUGAAUGGCAAUGGAUAUGAACUGAAACACAGUUUAUCCAGUCUUUCCCUUCCCCCAGUAGACGCCAGAUCAGACUUACAUCUAGACAGAUUUUAGUCCCUCAGGUGAACUUGGCAUCUAACGGUUUUC